AGAGUUUGAUCCUGGCUCAGAUUGAACGCUGGCGGCAUGCUUUACACAUGCAAGUCGAACGGUAACAGGCCGCAAGGUGCUGACGAGUGGCGAACGGGUGAGUAAUGCAUCGGAACGUGCCCAGUCGUGGGGGAUAACGCAACGAAAGCUGCGCUAAUACCGCAUACGAUCUAUGGAUGAAAGCGGGGGACCGUAAGGCCUCGCGCGAUUGGAGCGGCCGAUGUCAGAUUAGGUAGUUGGUGGGGUAAAGGCUCACCAAGCCAACGAUCUGUAGCUGGUCUGAGAGGACGACCAGCCACACUGGAACUGAGACACGGUCCAGACUCCUACGGGAGGCAGCAGUGGGGAAUUUUGGACAAUGGGCGCAAGCCUGAUCCAGCAAUGCCGCGUGCAGGAAGAAGGCCUUCGGGUUGUAAACUGCUUUUGUACGGAACGAAACGGCGAGCUCUAAUACAGUUUGCUAAUGACGGUACCGUAAGAAUAAGCACCGGCUAACUACGUGCCAGCCGCCGCGGUAAUAC
This 521-nucleotide ribosomal RNA is filed under the name uncultured soil bacterium. RNAcentral's name for it is "bacterial SSU rRNA". It matches the Rfam family "Bacterial small subunit ribosomal RNA", at positions 8 to 526 of the family's 1533-position model. The record is from RNAcentral.